RNAcentral lists this ribosomal RNA (230 nucleotides) under uncultured bacterium. RNAcentral describes it as "partial 16S ribosomal RNA". It matches the Rfam family "Bacterial small subunit ribosomal RNA", at positions 568 to 796 of the family's 1533-position model. The record is from RNAcentral.
CGUGUAGGCGGUUUACUAAGUCAGUUGUUAAAGCCCAUGGCUUACCCAUGGAUAGGCAAUUGAUACUGGUGAACUAAGAGGGCAAGAGAGAGAAGUGGAAUUCUCGGAGUAGCGGUAAAAUGCGUAGAUCUCGAGAGGAACACCGAUGGCGAAGGCAGCUUCUUGGCUUGUACCUGACGCUGAGGCGCGAAAGCGUGGGGAGCAAACAGGAUUAGAUACCCUGGUAGUCC